UGGUAAAACCGGGCUCGGGAGGGGCUCGGGCACGGGAAAUGGCGGGGUAAAACCGGGCUGCCCCGGACUGGGGCUUCACCUAUUUUCAUGGAAUAAGGACUGAUAUGGAGCUAGUAAGGACAUAGAACAAACUACUGAGGAAGCCAUGAAUCCCCCUUGACUAAUGCUGGGAACAAGGCCGCUCUACUCCCAUCUUUCUUCUAAGUCCACUUUAACUCUCUCAUUUUUAUUUCUGAUUUUUAUUUGCUGUCAUUGUUAUCUUAAUUCUCAUUUUCCUUGAUUGUUGAUUUAUUUUUAUUUAUUUAUAUUUAUUACUAUUAUUUUUACUGUUGAUCAUUAUUCCGCAUUUCCACUUUUCUUUUUGUUUCCCAGGGGCCAUAGCAGUUCAGUCUUGCUGGGAUGUCUGUACUGUAUUAUCAAACUUACUCAAUUUGGUUUAUUGUAAAUAAAUUAUAUUACGAAACCGAACCAGAAACUAUCAGGAAAUUAGAUUUUACAGAUUUUCUUUCCAUCAUAAUAGCAGUAUGGACUAUGACUGUAGCAGUGAAAUGCUCACAGGAAUGAAUGAUGCAACCUCUCAAAAUAAAUCUCUUUUCAUCACCAAAAUUUCUCUGGGAAUUUGCAUGAUUUCAGAACCAUGCACAUAAUCUUGAAAUUGAUAUAGAGAAUAUCCAUGGAUUUUUACUUGUAAAAUGGGCCUCAAGUACAACUACUCUUCCAUGACAUUUAGGAUAAUAUUCCUGUCUCACUUAUCAU
This is a long non-coding RNA of Amphimedon queenslandica, 756 nucleotides long. RefSeq lists it as uncharacterized. The transcript is spliced from 3 exons. The record is from RefSeq and is a predicted model, not a curated record. Lineage: Eukaryota; Metazoa; Porifera; Demospongiae; Haplosclerida; Niphatidae.